UAGCAUAUCAAUAAGCGGAGGAAAAGAAACCAACAGGGAUUGCCUUAGUAACUGCGAGUGAAGCGGCAAGAGCUCAAAUUUGAAAUCUGACGUCAUAUCGGCGUCCGAGUUGUAAUUUGGAGGGGCAUAUUCGGUGGUGGCGCCGUCAUAAGUUCCUUGGAACAGGACGUCAUAGAGGGUGAGAAUCCCGUGCCUGGAUGGCCGUCCAUCACCUUGUGAAUUGUCUCCGACGAGUCGAGUUGUUUGGGAAUGCAGCUCAAAAUGGGUGGUAAAUUUCAUCUAAAGCUAAAUAUUGGCGAGAGACCGAUAGCGCACAAGUAGAGUGAUCGAAAGAUGAAAAGCACUUUGAAAAGAGAGUUAAAAAGUACGUGAAAUUGUUGAAAGGGAAGCGCUUGCGACCAGACUCGAUCUUUGGCGAUCAGCCGGGCCUUUUCGGCCUGGUGCCCUCGCCUCUGAUCGGGCCAGCAUCGGUUCCGAGGGCGGGAUAAAAGGUCGGGGAAUGUGGCUUCCCUCGGGGAGUGUUAUAGACCCGAUCAUAAUGCCGCCACUUGGGACCGAGGACCGCGCUUCGGCUAGGAUGCUGGCGUAAUGGUCUUAAGCGACCCGUCUUGAAACACGGACCAAGGAGUCUAACAUCUAUGCGAGUGUUCGGGUGGAAAACCCUUGCGCGUAAUGAAAGUGAACGGAGGUGUGAACCCGCAAGGGCGCAACAUCGACCGGUCCUGAUGUCUUCGGAAGGAUCUGAGUAAGAGCAUAGCUGUUGGGACCCGAAAGAUGGUGAACUAUGCCUGAAUAGGGUGAAGCCAGAGGAAACUCUGGUGGAGGCUCGCAGCGGCUCUGACGUGCAAAUCGAUCGUCAAAUUUGGGUAUAGGGGCGAAAGACUAAUCGAACCAUCUAGUAGCUGGUUCCUGCCGAGCU
Molecule: ribosomal RNA, 919 nt
Filed under: Scutellinia sp.
Lineage: Eukaryota; Fungi; Ascomycota; Pezizomycetes; Pezizales; Pyronemataceae
Description: partial large subunit ribosomal RNA
Rfam family: Eukaryotic large subunit ribosomal RNA
Source: RNAcentral